CCAUGGUGAGUGCUUGGCAGAGCAGGCGGAGGUCCCGCUGUUCGCUGGUUUGCAGGCGGGCUCUGCUGUGAGUGCAGCACGGAGGCUCUGGGGGGCAGCGGCCGCCCGGGCUUCGGCACGUGGGAAGUGACUCCGCGGCCCAGGCAACCAUCACAGGUUUGUGACCAUGGAUGCCGUAGACCAAGGUGCAGAAGGUGACCAUCUGAGCUUGAAAGGGACGGACCUCUGUCACGCUGCACAGGAAAAGCUGAGCCUUCGCGGUUUCAUACACUCUUCUGGCAGCUGCAGAGAUGAACGUCUCUCAGGUCACCUAUCAGCUGCAAAGAGGCCUGGUCCCAGGAGACACACUGUGGAGCCGGCCCUGGGAUGUCACAGAAGGCAAAUCAUCUGCAGCUUGGCAUGCAUCAGAGGACAAGUCUGGAAACUGCAGAGGCAGGGCACAGACCUGAGACUGGUUCACUGA
Molecule: long non-coding RNA, 463 nt
Filed under: Cavia porcellus (domestic guinea pig)
Lineage: Eukaryota; Metazoa; Chordata; Mammalia; Rodentia; Caviidae
Description: lncRNA (ENSCPOG00000039386.1)
Source: RNAcentral